RNAcentral lists this transfer RNA (93 nucleotides) under Streptomyces chromofuscus. Its description in RNAcentral is "tRNA-Pro". Lineage: Bacteria; Bacillati; Actinomycetota; Actinomycetes; Kitasatosporales; Streptomycetaceae. The record is from RNAcentral.
GGGUCGCUGCCGGGCUGCGCCGGGAUGACCUCCGGGGCGGGGCGCGGGCGGUGGUCGCCCGCGCUCGGCUUCGUUCGAGCCGGAGGUGACCCC